GUAGGUGGCAAGCGUUGUCCGGAAUUAUUGGGCGUAAAGCGCGCGCAGGCGGUCCUUUAAGUCUGAUGUGAAAGCCCACGGCUCAACCGUGGAGGGUCAUUGGAAACUGGGGGACUUGAGUACAGAAGAGGAAAGCGGAAUUCCAAGUGUAGCGGUGAAAUGCGUAGAGAUUUGGAGGAACACCAGUGGCGAAGGCGGCUUUCUGGUCUGUAACUGACGCUGAGGCGCAAAAGCGUGGGGAGCAAACAGGAUUAGAUACCCUGGUAGUCCACGCCGUAAACGAUGAGUGCUAAGUGUUAGGGGGUUUCCCGCCCCCUUAGUGCUGCAGCUAACGCAUUAAGCACUCCGCCUGGGGGAGUACGGCCGCAAGGCUG
Molecule: ribosomal RNA, 374 nt
Filed under: uncultured organism
Description: partial 16S ribosomal RNA
Rfam family: Bacterial small subunit ribosomal RNA
Source: RNAcentral